ACGGGAGGCAGCAGUGGGGAAUAUUGCACAAUGGGCGCAAGCCUGAUGCAGCAACGCCACGUGAGGGAAGACGGUUUUCGGAUUGUAAACAUCUGUCUGUGGUGACGAAGAAGUGACGGUAGCCAAGGAGGAAGCCACGGCUAACUACGUGCCAGCAGCCGCGGUAAUACGUAGGUGGCAAGCGUUAUCCGGAAUUACUGGGUGUAAAGGGAGCGCAGGCGGGAUAGCAAGUCAGCGGUGAAAAUUAUGGGCUUAACCCAUACACUGCCGUUUCAACUGUUAUUCUUGAGUGGAGUAGAGGCCGGCGGAAUUCCGAGUGUAGCGGUGAAAUGCGUAGAUCUUCGGAGGAACACCAGUGGCGAAGGCUGCCUGCUGGGCUCUAACUGACGCUGAGGCUCGAACUUGUGGGGAGCAAACAGGAUUAGAUACCCUGGUA
RNAcentral lists this ribosomal RNA (436 nucleotides) under uncultured Clostridium sp. Its description in RNAcentral is "partial 16S ribosomal RNA". It matches the Rfam family "Bacterial small subunit ribosomal RNA", at positions 341 to 792 of the family's 1533-position model. The record is from RNAcentral. Lineage: Bacteria; Bacillati; Bacillota; Clostridia; Eubacteriales; Clostridiaceae.